CAGGGUUUGGAGGAAGAUCCAGUGAGAUAAUGAUGACGAGAGGCACCACUGAGUUCGCUUGCUCUGCGAUCUUCUGAAAAUGGACGAAAGAAAGGCUUUAUAAUUCAAAAGAUCUGUGGUCCCAGGGACACGAAUUCCUUGUGUGGGCGUCUAGGACACAGCCACAAUAGACACUGCACAGGAAGACCUGAAGCUGGCAGAGCCUUAUUCCAGAGUCCAGCAAAGCAAGUCCUACCGCCUUUUCCAGGGUCCCUGAUUGGCAUCAUGCUUCAGGGAGGAAUGGGCUUAGAACACACGUCCACUUCAAUCUGCUUUCAGCUCUGUUGGAAUUUGUGAACUCUUGUUAAUUAGCCUCCUCAGCUGCUUGCCUACCAUGGAUUUACUCUCCCUUCUCAGAAGCAGACACAUUCCUGAAGAUUUGCGCAACCUGACCACAGAAACGUCACACUUCAAGCCCAGGUAACUAGAGGCAACCAAAUAGUGUCCAGUCAGCCAAUGGCCACUGAGCAACCAAGGGAGCCCAGAACCCUGUACGAGGCAACUGUGAUAUAUAUGGAAGAAAAGAGCAGCCCAAGCCUCCUGACUGUGUCUGGGUCACUGUCCUCAAAAAGUCCGGUGGAAAAAGAAUGAUGCAGGCCAGAAGGCCGGGGGGCUGGGGUGGUGGGAGAGAGAGAGAGAGAGAGAACGUGUGGAAGAGCCUGGUUGCCCUACAGAGCCAGGGAAGGAAAUCAGGUGGAAGGGAGCCCCCAGGUCACACACCUGAAGGUGUCACUGCCAACUCCCCAGAGGCCAAAAAGCCCGGGUCAGCCAGUCAAGAAGUGGAUUUUCUUCUAAACCUGAAGCCCCAGAAUGAAACCACCCAGUUCCCGCCUCUUUUCCACCAGCUGUGUCAGAGACUCUACCAGUGGAACCUCAUCUUCAGCCUUCAUUUCCAGUGUUGGUUUUGUUUAAUAUGGCAAGGCAGGAAAAUGUUCGUGUAGGGAUCUGCCCUAGGUUAAGUUGUGCUGAAGGACGGAGGAGAGAAUUCAAGAAGCGGCGCAAACCACCACCAACAGCUCUGCAACCGAGGUGGGGCCUUCGCCAAUUAGGAUUGGAACGGUGGGGUUCAAAUAAAAAAACUGAUGUGAAAGCCCGACCUGGUCCAUCGGAACCACAUAAACGCAUUUGUUCUUUCCCUGUGGUAGAUGUUGCCCUUUGUGGGAGGGCGGAGGAGGGAGAAGCAGCUUCCAUAUUGAGCCGGUACAUUUUGUGACUGCCCCGGAGCGUCAUCACCUCCACUCCUGCCAUCCCAGUCCAAGACCUCUCCUCCUGAAUGGCCUCCCUGCUUGCACUCUUCGCUCCUAGAGUUUAUUCUCCACACAACAGCCAGAGUGAUGUUUUUAAACACAGAAAUUGUAUCUUGUCACUUUCCUGUUGAAAACUCUUCAAACG
Molecule: long non-coding RNA, 1431 nt
Filed under: Equus caballus (horse)
Lineage: Eukaryota; Metazoa; Chordata; Mammalia; Perissodactyla; Equidae
Description: lncRNA (ENSECAG00000057717.1)
Source: RNAcentral